UCUACGGGAGGCAGCAGUGAGGAAUAUUGCACAAUGGGGGGAACCCUGAUGCAGCGACGCCGCGUGGGUGAAGAAGCGCCUCGGCGCGUAAAGCCCUGUCAGCAGGGAAGAAAAUGACAGUACCUGACCAAGAAGCCCCGGCUAACUACGUGCCAGCAGCCGCGGUAAUACGUAGGGGGCAAGCGUUAUCCGGAUUUACUGGGUGUAAAGGGAGCGUAGACGGUUAUGUAAGUCUGGAGUGAAAGCCCGGGGCCCAACCCCGGGACUGCUUUGGAAACUGUGUAACUGGAGUACAGGAGGGGCAGGCGGAAUUCCUGGUGUAGCGGUGAAAUGCGUAGAUAUCAGGAGGAACACCGGCGGCGAAGGCGGCCUGCUGGACUGAAACUGACGUUGAGGCUCGAAAGCGUGGGGAGCAAACAGGAUUAGAUACCCCAGUAGUC
RNAcentral lists this ribosomal RNA (440 nucleotides) under uncultured bacterium. RNAcentral's name for it is "partial 16S ribosomal RNA". It matches the Rfam family "Bacterial small subunit ribosomal RNA", at positions 338 to 795 of the family's 1533-position model. The record is from RNAcentral.